CUCGUUUUUCCCAAAUUCCGGCUUCACCCGGUACGCAGGAUCAGGUGCACACCGGAAUCCGAGAACACGGGUCCGGACAGCUCUCCUACUUUCAGCGCGUAAGUAGCAUCCUCAAAGGGCUUUUGCAUGUCGCCGCGCCUGGAGUUGGGCCAAUGAUUGCGUGUAACGCGGUAUGGUGCAGGUACGCGUCACUCAACAUUCACCAUGAUUGACUUAUCACGAAGUUGAAGAUGCAGCCCCUGCCUCCCCGUCCCCUGUACUAACCUUCUCACGCACUGCUGCAUAGUGCACACAUAGUACAUAGUGCCGCCACCCUUAACCUGCUUAAUGCAACGACACCCACCGCCGGACUUUCACGACCGCAAGGUGUCCCCGUUGAAGCUUCUCUGGUCCCGAGCCCAUAUCCGAGCCGAACUCACCCGAACUCGCCCAGGUCGCCGCCUCGCUUCGCGCUGCUGCAGUGGCUCUC
This 469-nucleotide long non-coding RNA is filed under the name Volvox carteri. RNAcentral describes it as "long non-coding RNA (VCAR_LNC001854)". Lineage: Eukaryota; Viridiplantae; Chlorophyta; Chlorophyceae; Chlamydomonadales; Volvocaceae. The record is from RNAcentral.